Molecule: long non-coding RNA, 4116 nt
Filed under: Cottoperca gobio
Lineage: Eukaryota; Metazoa; Chordata; Actinopteri; Perciformes; Bovichtidae
Description: lncRNA (ENSCGOG00000009879.1)
Source: RNAcentral
GAGAGAUGAAAAUGUAAGUGUGGGAGAGAAAUACAGAUAAUCAUGAUGAGUUCCAGAAGCUAAAUCACAACCAGGAAAUGUAAUGUGUGUGUGUGUGUGUGUGUGUGUGUGUGUGUGUGUGUACUUACAGCUGGACUGGUGUGAUAAAGACGGCGGUGGAUGAUCUGAAGAAGAGUGGAGCACCCAUGAGGUUGACGCUGCCUCAUGGAAGUGGAGGAGCUCCAUUAAGUCCAUCCACGUAUGUGUCAAUGUGUGUGUGUGUGUGUGUGUGUGUGUGUGUGUGUGUGUACUUACACGUCAGUUGAAAGAGCAAGACGUAUUCAUCGCCUGCCAAAGUUCACCCAUUUCAAAAAUAUCUCAUUUCUUUUGUCAUCUUCCCCCCGUCAGGCUGACUGCCCCUCUGAGCCCGACGGAGAACGGGGGUUUGAAAAGCAGCAGCGGUGAGACCGCAGCGCUUUAUCAGCUGGACACUUAAUAAAACGCACAAAUUUGUUAUUGUUACGCAUUUUCUGAAAUGUCCAGCCAAAGUUAAGCCCGGUGUCUGCCCGUAGAUCGAGAUAAAGACAGCUUGACGGAUGACAAGUCUUCAGACCCCAGGCACAGGCUGAUUGAUUUCCUGUCAGACAAAGGCUUCGACUUGAUAGGCCACUCCAACAGCGAUCAGGAGAAGAUGGCCAACAGUGCUUUGGAUGAAGUCAUGUCGCUGAAAAGGCUGUUGGUCGGCAGCAUCAGUCUGACAGAAGACUCGCAGCCCGAUGAAGAAAACGGAGAGGAGCAAUCAGAGAGGCCCAGUCAAGAAACGGAUAGCUGUCAGUCGACAGAAGAAAGCCAGACGACAGACAGGGCAGCGGAGGAGGACAACAAUAACUCUUGUGAAAAAGAAGGUGCAGGGACGAAGGGAGUGGAGGAGAGGAGCAUCACUGCGCCCCUGGUGCUGUCCCAGGAGAGGAGGGAGGAAGUGUGCAGGAGGCUCCACAGUCUGGAGGAACAACUAAAGAGACUACAGACUGUAGAAGAGGAGCACCACAGGCUGCAGGAGGCCCUUUCCAAGUUCUCACUGGAGGGGGGGAACUUCCAGUGAGACACCAUCGCGCCACCUGCUGGCCACUAGAUUUUUACUGGUGCUGGUUUGGAGUGCAAGAGUGACUUUCAGAGGCUUUCCUGGAAAUUCCUAAACCCUCUCCUCGGUCAUGCCCUGGACCCUUCGCUGCAUUUGGGGGCUCUUUACGCACAGUGCAGCGAUGGAACACGGGAGGGAGUGUGCAUGUGUAUGUGUGUCUUGUUUGCGUGCGUGCGUGCUUGAUAGAGAGGUAUACAAAGAAAAAGAAAAAAACGGGACUUCCUACUUCAAGUGGGAGGUUUGUUUUUGCAGAGAGGUGCCAAAAAAAAAAAAGAAGCAAUAUUGUGCUGUGAGAGAGAUGCUGCCUAACAAAAUGUAGUGAUUGCGAUCUGCUGUAACACACAUACGCACACCAGAGACAUGCACGCUAGAAAAUAAUUGACAUUAUUGCCAAUAGCAGAUGUGCAGUAGAGGAUGUUUGCCCGCCAGGUGAGCUAUAACCAGGUGGAAGCCUUAAGGGGGCCAAUGUAGCGUUUGAAGAUGUAUUGAAAUACUACUGCUGAUAUAUAGUGUUAUUUCUAGUCUAUGCCAAAGUACCACAGAGAUGCACUUUUUUCUAAUCAAACCAAGUUGAAGCCACACUGUUUUUGCGAAAUGUAUUUACUCUCUUUUUAGUACCGUUUUUUGGACCGUUGGGCUUCAUAUAGGCUGCCCUUCAUUAUUGCAAAUAUUGCAUGCAAGAAAGUGUGUGUGUGUGUGUGUGUGUGUGUGUUACAAAGUUUUUAAUUAAGGAUGUGCUUCAUAGGAGGGUUCUUACUGUCAUUAGGUCACAUAGAAACAUGUAUAAAUAGUGGCACUAUAGGUAAUCAUGCUGUUAAUAAUGGAGACUUGUUUGUAUUUACCGCUUUUAUUUAUUCCUCUGAGUUCUGUUGGGUCAGCGAGUCGCCUCGCCUGUUUCAAACGUGUAUAGAUGGAGCGACGUGUUGGACAAACGACAAAACACAAGAAGGCAAACGUAGCAUGUACAACAAAGAUCGCGGUAGAGAGAGACAGAGAUGUCGGGAUGGGGAGUGAGUUUCGAGGUUUCAUGAGAUGUGUAGAGAACAUGAGUUUAUGAUGUGCUCUCGCUGUAAUGAAGGAAGAUGUGCACGCACACCUACAAACACUGAGAGCCCAGCGCUGCAGAAGUGUUCGGUGCCAGCAUCACUUCUGCAGAGUCACCUUCCCCCAGAUGGAUCCUCCUCCUCGGGUUAUAAAUAGUCUUCUAGGACGUGAGAGUCGCAUAUUAUUAGAAAAGAAGAGUCUAUUCUCUCCUGGCAGGAACAUUUGUAUCGAAACUGAGCUUCGUCUUCGUAUUUUGAUUCAGCCGUUGAUUGUAAUUAUAAUUAUGAUGAUGUCAUUUCUGAGUAGUGGCAGAGCUGUGGCCGUGCACACAAGACCAAAGACGAAACAAAGCAACGUUAGAUCCUCAUACGCGCUGUAAUUCUCUUAACCACGUGCUUCAUCUGUGCAGGAGCACGUCGCUUAGUGAUCGCUCAGUAGCCCGCAGAUGCUUUUCCUCAAACACGUGGCAACAUAAGUUGAAGCGAUAUCAAAAAAAAAAAAGCACAUUGAAGAAUGAAGCGUUAGUCGUCAAUACAAAACAUUAAAAGUUUUUGCAUGCACUUCAGUGUGAGGAAAAGCCACACGCUGUUCUGUUCUGACCCGGAGAGAGGACUGUAAUUGAACACUUGGGACUCCAGCAAGACGAGAGGCGACAAGAGCGUGAAGCCAGAUGAGCGUACGAAGGAAACGUUAACGGUUUGGAGGAAGGAAAACUGCAAUCUCAGUCCAACAUCUCCGUGUUCAUGAUCACUUCCUGAUAUGCAUUCUCACCGUUGUUGCAACAACAAACGGCCCCUUUGACCCUGAAUCCUCAGAGCCAACUGUCGGGGGGGGGGGGCCUCGAGUCACUCGAGUGUCACAAGACGCUGAAUAAUAGAAGUUUCUGUUUGAACAUUUACUGCCAUUUCUCCCCAUGUGGUUGUCUUCUUGUAAAAUGUACAUAGAUGCUAGAUUGAAGAAAUAGUCCCCGUGUUAUUAAGCUCGUUAGCUCCAUUGACGACACCCUCACUUGUGAUAGCAUGAUCACCUUUUCCUUCGCACAGUUUUAACAUAUGUUGUGUAUUUCACUUGAUUUACUUAAACGGGUCGGGGGAGGUUUUGUUACUGUUUUUGUUUUUGUCCAACAAGCUUUUUGUAAUUGUGUACUACGCAUUUGGUCAUAACGGUGAGAGAGACGGGACUUGUCUGUGACUUGUCUAUGCAUGAAUGAAUUAAAAAAUUAUGCAAAUUUUUGGUGUGCACGUUAAAGCGCAAACCUGCUCUGGACCGUGGCUGUGCAGCUUAGCGAUGGGAUGCAUUUAUACAGAUCAUCUCAACCAGGGAUUGUUUUAAUUGUCAAACUGCAGCGGUCAGCAGGGAGGGACUCCGUCACUCGACACGCUACAGUCACUUCCAGCUCUCUCUCUCUCUCUCUCUCUCUCUCUCUCCAAAUGCUUUUCCUCACGCAUUCUAUAUACAAAUACCUAGAUGUAAAGAAAAUGUAUUUAUAGAGCGGUGCCUUGUUCCCACGAUCAAGUUGUCUACGAACACAAUCGCUGUCUUUCAUGGAGGACAGUGAAAUGGACCUCUGAGAGUUAGAGACAAUGUCAAAAAUGACUAAUAACGAUGGAAAGAUCCUCCCAGGAUUCUGUUUUUGUGUCCUCCUCCAUUACAGCAACAGGUUUUGAGCCCUCCACCAACUCAGCCAGCCAGUGGCCUGUAUAUAAAGACACUGCUCCUUGUCAUACAGGCGUCAUCAUGUCUAUCUAUAAACAAUGAAUAUGCAAGAACUAUACUGUGUAUUUGGGUUUUGAUUUUUUUAUCGUGUAAGAGGUUCUUUAAUGAUGUAUACUUAAGGAAAAUUGUGGUACGUUAUGUUUUUUAUUCUUCAUUUUUUUUUAAUAAAUUGGGGAAAUAAAUUCCUGUUUUGUCAGUUUUUAUAGUUAUGAGCCAAUUAGAAUAAUCUGUGAGCU